AGUGAACGCUGGCGGUAGGCCUAACACAUGCAAGUCGAACGGCAGCACAGUAAGAGUUUGCUCUUACGGGUUGCCAGAGGCGGACGGAAGAGGUAAAUAUCGGACUCUACUUUUUCGUGGGGGUUAACGUAGGGAAACUUACUCCAAUAUAGCAUACGAUCUUCGGGUGAAAGUAUUGGAUAUUCGGACCUUUCGUGAUUUAAUGCGCCGAUGUUGGAUUAGCUAGUUGGCGGGGUAAAUGCCCACCAAGGCGACGAUCCGUAGCUGGUCUGAGAGGAUGAUCAGCCACACUGGAACUGAGACACGGUCCAGACUCCUACGGGAGGCAGCAGUGGGGAAUAUUGGACAAUGGGCGCAAGCCUGAUCCAGCCAUACCGCGUGGGUGAAGAAGGCCUUCGGGUUGUAAAGCCCUUUUGUUGGGAAAGAAAAGCAGCAGGUUAAUACCCCGCUGUUCUGACGGUACCCAAAGAAUAAGCACCGGCUAACUUCGUG
This 492-nucleotide ribosomal RNA is filed under the name uncultured bacterium. RNAcentral describes it as "partial 16S ribosomal RNA". It matches the Rfam family "Bacterial small subunit ribosomal RNA", at positions 29 to 507 of the family's 1533-position model. The record is from RNAcentral.